This 126-nucleotide small nuclear RNA is filed under the name Solanum tuberosum (potato). RNAcentral's name for it is "snRNA U1". It matches the Rfam family "U1 spliceosomal RNA". Rfam says of the family: U1 is a small nuclear RNA (snRNA) component of the spliceosome (involved in pre-mRNA splicing). Its 5' end forms complementary base pairs with the 5' splice junction, thus defining the 5' donor site of an intron. There are significant differences in sequence and secondary structure between metazoan and yeast U1 snRNAs, the latter being much longer (568 nucleotides as compared to 164 nucleotides in human). The record is from RNAcentral. Lineage: Eukaryota; Viridiplantae; Streptophyta; Magnoliopsida; Solanales; Solanaceae.
UUACUUACCUGGUAGGGUCAAUGAGUGAUCAAGAAGGUCCAUGACCUAGGUUGGUGAUCUCCUCUGCACUUGAGAGAGUUACCAAUCUAAGAUUGGCUCAAGUGGUCGAGUCUAUGGCAUAAUAAC